GGUGGCUCAGUGGUAGAGUACUUGCCUAAUAUGCAUGAAGCUCUGGGUUCGAUUCCUCAGUACCA
RNAcentral lists this transfer RNA (65 nucleotides) under Dipodomys ordii (Ord's kangaroo rat). It matches the Rfam family "tRNA". From Rfam's summary of the family: Transfer RNA (tRNA) molecules are approximately 80 nucleotides in length. Their secondary structure includes four short double-helical elements and three loops (D, anti-codon, and T loops). Lineage: Eukaryota; Metazoa; Chordata; Mammalia; Rodentia; Heteromyidae. The record is from Rfam by way of RNAcentral.